RNAcentral lists this ribosomal RNA (484 nucleotides) under uncultured bacterium. RNAcentral describes it as "partial 16S ribosomal RNA". It matches the Rfam family "Bacterial small subunit ribosomal RNA", at positions 30 to 507 of the family's 1533-position model. The record is from RNAcentral.
AUUGAACGCUGGCGGCAGGCCUAACACAUGCAAGUCGAGCGGAUGAAGGGAGCUUGCUCCUGGAUUCAGCGGCGGACGGGUGAGUAAUGCCUAGGAAUCUGCCUGGUAGUGGGGGAUAACGUCCGGAAACGGGCGCUAAUACCGCAUACGUCCUGAGGGAGAAAGUGGGGGAUCUUCGGACCUCACGCUAUCAGCUGAGCCUAGGUCGGAUUAGCUAGUUGGUUGGGUAAAGGCCUACCAAGGCGACGAUCCGUAACUGGUCUGAGAGGAUGAUCAGUCACACUGGAACUGAGACACGGCCCAGACUCCUACGGGAGGCAGCAGUGGGGAAUAUUGGAAAAUGGGCGAAAGCCUGAUCAAGCAAUGCCGCGGGGGUGAAGAAGGUCUUCGGAUGGUAAAGCACUUUAAGUUGGGAGGAAGGGGAGUAAGUUAAUACGUUGCUGUUUUGACGUUACCAACAGAAUAAGCACCGGCUAACUUCGUG